AAGAACGCCCUGAGUUUUUUAGAAUUCUCAUCAACAUGGUGGCGUCUAUCUCAGUUAUAAGAAAUUCUCAUAAUUGUCUCCUCGUGGACUUCUCCCCUUCCAAAGCUCCUCCAGAAAAAAACAAAUGAGUGAAGACCUGAAGUGACAGAACACAAAAAAUGGAAGAACUAUGAGCUGUUGGCUGUGCUCCUCUUCACAUGGACAGCAGAACAACUCUCACAAAGGGAAGUGUAUCUACAGCAGGAAUACAUGGCCCCCUGUGUUCUGGCAUGACACCUGCAGAAAAUACCCUUCACAAAGCACAGCAAGCCACAUCCUUUUAUCCUUUACAGGCGCAUUUUCUUGAGCAACAACUUGAAGUGCUGCAAUUUGUUUUCUCUAAAUGUCAAUAGUGAUAAUGGGGUUUCCGCCACUAGCUGCCUUAAUAAAUUGCUCCUACAGUUACUGAAGGUAGGAUGGAAGGAGCAUAACUGAAGAGUAACACUCAUCUCACAGUACAAAUGUAAAUCCACUGAUGUAAUCCACUGUAAAUCCACUUCCUUGUUCUGGAAGUUCUGUCAUUGAUCUAUAUUCAGUUUUUACUCAGCUUUUGCUGAAGAUAGAAGAAAUUCCAUUCUUUACAGUGAUUUGUUUGAACUAGACCUACAAUUCUGACUUUCUUUUAAUACAAUAAACUUCAAUAUUCACUGACUCCACAA
Non-coding RNA from Taeniopygia guttata (zebra finch), 698 nucleotides. The record is from RefSeq and is a predicted model, not a curated record. Lineage: Eukaryota; Metazoa; Chordata; Aves; Passeriformes; Estrildidae.